RNAcentral lists this ribosomal RNA (542 nucleotides) under uncultured bacterium. RNAcentral describes it as "bacterial SSU rRNA". It matches the Rfam family "Bacterial small subunit ribosomal RNA", at positions 355 to 893 of the family's 1533-position model. The record is from RNAcentral.
UGGGGAAUUUUGGACAAUGGGGGCAACCCUGAUCCAGCGACGCCGCGUGAAGGAUGAAGGUCUUCGGAUUGUAAACUUCUUUUGAUGGGGAUGAAUGCCCUGGUGAAUAGCCAGGGGUGACAGUACCCGUUGAAUAAGCCACGGCUAACUACGUGCCAGCAGCCGCGGUAAUACGUAGGUGGCAAGCGAUACUCGGAAUCACUAGGCGUAAAGCGCAGGUAGGCGGUUUGGUAAGUCUCUUGUGAAAGCUCCCGGCUUAACUGGGAGAGGUCAAGGGAAACUACCAGGCUAGAGUGUGGUAGGGGAUACUGGAAUUCCUGGUGUAGCGGUGAAAUGCGUAGAUAUCAGGAGGAAUACCUAUGGCGAAAGCAGGUAUCUGGGCCAUCACUGACGCUGAGCUGCGAAAGCUAGGGGAGCAAACAGGAUUAGAUACCCUGGUAGUCCUAGCCCUAAACGAUGCUCAUUAGAUGUGGGAGGUAUCGACCCCUUCCGCGUCGCAGCUAACGCAUUAAAUGAGCCGCCUGGGGAGUACGGCCGCAAGG